This 78-nucleotide ribosomal RNA is filed under the name Escherichia coli. RNAcentral's name for it is "partial 16S ribosomal RNA". It matches the Rfam family "Bacterial small subunit ribosomal RNA", at positions 1 to 76 of the family's 1533-position model. The record is from RNAcentral. Lineage: Bacteria; Pseudomonadati; Pseudomonadota; Gammaproteobacteria; Enterobacterales; Enterobacteriaceae.
UUAAAUUGAAGAGUUUGAUCAUGGCUCAGAUUGAACGCUGGCGGCAGGCCUAACACAUGCAAGUCGAACGGUAACUGC